Molecule: ribosomal RNA, 433 nt
Filed under: uncultured bacterium
Lineage: Bacteria
Description: partial 16S ribosomal RNA
Rfam family: Bacterial small subunit ribosomal RNA
Source: RNAcentral
AAUGAACGCUGGCGGCAUGCCUAACACAUGCAAGUCGAACGAAGGCUUCGGCCUUAGUGGCGCACGGGUGCGUAACGCGUGGGAAUCUGCCCCUUGGUUCGGAAUAACAGUUGGAAACGACUGCUAAUACCGGAUGACGACGUAAGUCCAAAGAUUUAUCGCCGAGGGAUGAGCCCGCGUAGGAUUAGGAAGUUGGUGUGGUAAAGGCGCACCAAGCCGACGAUCCUUAGCUGGUCUGAGAGGAUGAUCAGCCACACUGGGACUGAGACACGGCCCAGACUCCUACGGGAGGCAGCAGUGGGGAAUAUUGGACAAUGGGCGAAAGCCUGAUCCAGCAAUGCCGCGUGAGUGAUGAAGGCCUUAGGGUUGUAAAGCUCUUUUACCCGGGAUGAUAAUGACAGUACCGGGAGAAUAAGCUCCGGCUAACUCCGUG